Pimephales promelas (fathead minnow) is the source of this 292-nucleotide non-coding RNA. NCBI's taxonomy places the organism in Eukaryota, Metazoa, Chordata, Actinopteri, Cypriniformes, Leuciscidae. The record is from RefSeq and is a predicted model, not a curated record.
GUUCCAUAGCAACCGUAAAGAACAACAUGGCAAAAGCAACAACUAUUAAAGAGGCCCUGGUGAAAUGGGAGGAGAAAACAGGCGAAAAAGCGAGCGAGGCCACGGCAGUAAAGCUUUAUGGUCAGAUCCCCCCCGUUGAAAAAAUGGACGCAUCUCUCUCUAAUCUUACCAACUGCGAGUGAGUCUAAAUAUACAACUCCAAUUUUUUUGUGUAUUUUCUCUUUAACCAUCUUCCAUGUGAGUCAUAUAUAAUAACUCCCUAAAAUAUCUUCAUUGCAAAUUCUGUCCUGCC